RNA transcript from Arachis duranensis, 2147 nucleotides. RefSeq lists it as uncharacterized. The transcript is spliced from 3 exons. NCBI's taxonomy places the organism in Eukaryota, Viridiplantae, Streptophyta, Magnoliopsida, Fabales, Fabaceae. The record is from RefSeq and is a predicted model, not a curated record.
UAUCGUUCGAUUUAUGGCAGAUUUAGCACAAACCGCCGAAAUUAUCAUCUAUUCUAUUCUAUUAUCUAUUAUAUUAGAUAAAGAGAAAAAAAACCCCAAUCUUCGUUUUCAUUUUUCUUGUUACAUCUAGCGAAAAAUUCCAUUCUUCUUCUUCUCCAUCUCAGUUGAGAGAUACCGUCUUCGCGAGUGCCACCCACCCCAUCUUUGCAAGAGCCACCCACCCCAUCAAGCUUCGCGUUGCAGAUGCAGCGGAUAUCUCCACUCGAUUCGUGUUCUCUUUCUAUUCGACAUCAGUUCUCAACUACUCCGCCUCCUCGUUGAGAUUCGCUGUCGAUUCCUCUCCAACGACGCCGACACUAAUCUCAGGGAAGUUUAAACUUCUUUUAAUAUUAUUAUUUAAUUGAUUUAUCAUUUAUUACAUCUUUGUUUUUUUCUAUGUAGUUUAAUCUUGGAAGAUAUUUCUAGUAAACUAUUAAGAGGUGCAUUUGUUUUCUUGAUAUUCAGAUAUGGUUGCAAAAUUUGAGUAGAUUCUCUGUAAAAUUCAUGUGUGUUAGGACUUAGGGUUAUCUAUUAGGAAUUAGGUUGAAUUUUUGGAUCUGUUUUAAUUGAUGAGUUUUCAAAUUAUCAAAUUGUCUUUCACUUGCUUCUUGACCUAAAUUUCCAAAUUGUGUUUCUCUGCAGCAUUGUGAUUGGCUAUGAUGAAGGGACUAUUAUGGUUAAACGUGGUCGAGAAGUACCUGUUGCUAACAUGGACAACAGUGGAAAAAUUUUUUAGGGUAAGCAUAAUGAAAUUCAAACUAUCAAUAUAAAAAAUGUAGCAGCAGAUGUGGAGGUUGCUAAUGGAGAAGGGUUACCCUUGGCUGUUAAGGAGUUGGGCAUUUGUGAUCUCUACCCACAAGUUAGUUAAUAUUCUUCUUUCUCACAUGAUGUUCCAUUUUAUUGUUCUGUUUCUUCUGAUUUUAAAGAGUUUCUACUGUUAAGGAGUUGAUGGAGAGUGUAAGAAUUGUGGAAAAAUGUGGUAGAGUUUUAUUUUGUGCAGGAUCUGCACAUAUGUUCUGGUUAUUUUAAUCUAUUUGGGAGACUAGUAUUAUGAUUGGUUCAAAAUAAAUUUGACUCUAGUACUAAGGCAAUUACUGUGAUAAAUAUUACAUAGCACAAUUAUAAACUCAUGAAUUCAGAACUUUGAAAAUAAAUUUGAUUCUAGUACUAAGGCAAUUAUUAUGAUAAAUAUUACAUAGCAUUAUUAUAAACACAUGAAUUCAGAACUUUGAAGUCCUCAUAAGUUAUAUCAUAUACCCCAUUACAGAGGAAAGAAUAAAAUUAUGAUGCUUCAGUUUGAGUAUUCUACUAUAGGAAAAUUAUCCAUGAGCCAUUGUGGCAAUAACUUUUGUCAUUGAUCUAAUUCUCUUUGGCUUUUCCACUUACUUGUAUCCCAAAAAAAUAGAAUAUGAGUUCAUUCUUUGAUGAACAGCACCAUGUUAUGGAACUCAUUAUUAUUAUUAUUAUUAUUAUUAUUAUUAUUAUUAUUAUUAUUAUUAUUAUUAUUAUAAGGGCUUGAUUGGGUGAGCUAUGUGAAGUUGUUUCUGUAAAUUAUAAAUGUGGUUUUUUUCAAAUCCUAGCUAUGUUAAGUUGUUUAUGUAGGAUCUGUUGGGAGAAAUUAAGGAUUUUGUUGUAUGUUUUGAUGGUUUCGGAGAGAUUUUAUAGAAGAUGAGGGUCCUAUACUUGUAAAAGGAGGGAAAGAAAUUAUCCCAAAUGUGAUCAAAACUGUGCAAGUUGCCAGGCAACGUGGAAUUCUCAUAGUUUGGUGGUUGAAUAUUAUUAGAGAAGACCAAGAGGAAGCUGCUUGAACUACAGGAAGAGUUGGAAGCUGAGAAAUUGAAAAGGAAGGUGAUCGAGGAUGAAGCAAUAGCAGAGAAAAAAAAGAGACAAAAAAGAGACAGACAAUGGAAAGUGCUCUGAGAUAUCUAUUUCAACGGGAGGGUGAGGAGCUACCACCAGUCAUUGCUGCAGGGAUGAGUUCCGUGGAAUAAUAGAGUGACAAAUAGUAUAUUAGGAUAGGAAUUAUUUUGGUUUGAAGUCAACAUUUAGUUGAAUUUGACUAUGCAACUCUUUACAAGAGAUUUGUUUUAUUGAUAUUUUUAUAAAUA